Molecule: long non-coding RNA, 252 nt
Filed under: Setaria viridis
Lineage: Eukaryota; Viridiplantae; Streptophyta; Magnoliopsida; Poales; Poaceae
Description: long non-coding RNA (SVIR_LNC010893)
Source: RNAcentral
UUCAUCUUAGAGCUCUGGUUCAUCUUUUUCAAAAAUUUCAGCUAGUCAAAAAAUUCAGCGAGCAUCUCUAGUUUGUUCUUGUCAUUUUGCUCCUCCUAGUAGAGUUUCUGCCAUUCUCUUUCCAGUCUUUCUACAUUGCUUAUCCUUUCUAAGAUUUGUGUAGCUUCUAUAAUUGUUUUCUCCAUGAAAUUACCUCCUACACAUAUUGCUUAGUGAUACAUAACAAGACAUAUUGCUCUCUCUCAAGUGUUU